GGGGAGUUGUUGGUGUUUCUUUUUGUGUUCUUUGUUGCUGGUAACCUCCCAGAGUGGCGCCAUCCAGAGGCUGAGAACUGGUGGAACACCGAAAGGCAGUGCUGGUGACGAGGAAGAUAGACACCACCUGUGGACUCCGGGGGUAUCUUAGGAUUGGCUCCCCUGUGUCUAUCUGACCAAUCACCAGCAGAGGCCCGCUUUAAAGGCUCUCCCCCCUAAUUUCAUGGGGGCUCGCUCUCUCGCUCAGUGUUGGACAGGGAGAGUUUGUGGAGGGCAGGUGGGGCGAGUCUCCCGCCCAAGUGAGCCAGAUGAGAACGACUUACAAUGGGAUAGAACCAAAACAAGGCAACAGACCUGCAAGAAAACCAGGACCAUGUCAAUCUGGCUAUUUUAGUUCAUAAAAUAGAAUGUUUUAGGAAAAAAAGUCUUAUAUGUUGCAGAGGGAUUACUAAAAGGCCUGAAUUUGAUUGUGACACUGUGUUUGCAGUGCAUGAUGUGAGGGAUAAAGGACGGCUUGUCAAUGGAAAAGGAAACAAAAACCCAUGCCAGGGCUUCCUCCAACAAAACUUUUCACCAAAAUCUAUCCAAACAUCUGUUCUGGGAAAGAAAAGAAUAAUGUGAAUGAACAAAGGCAUGAAAAGGAGAGACUUGCUGCACCCUAGAUGUUUAAUAUUAGAGCAAUGUUUUAACUGUUGUUUAAAGUACCCUUAAUUCACAACACGUUUUCGGUUUUGUAAAUCAUUGACACAUUUUUUUUUCUCAUAAAGAAUAAUAAAGUCAUAACUGUGAUCACUCAGAGGCACCUGAACAAUACCUCAGAGAGAACUGUGUGCAAAUAUAUGGUGUGCAACCCAAUCAGAGCAUGUGAUAUCUGAAAUUGUGAUAACCAGGCCCUAAUAAAAGUCAGCCUCAGAAAAAUAAAUCAGAGUAAAAGGCAGCCGUGCAAAAAAGUUUAUUUUCAUUGGCACAUUGUCAGAUUACAAGGCCCCGAGGAGAAGUCUCAAUAUUAUUGACAUGCUGAUUAAAAUAAACGAUAUUGUCAAAAUUGCCAGUCAUUGUGUAUUACUUAUUGAGUCUUUAUUUCCUCUUAUCUAUGAACAAUCCACUCGAUCUCUUAUGAAUAAAUAAAUACAUUGAUAUGAAUAUGCUUUAUACAUAUAUUGCACAGGGCCGACAUUGGUUGCUUGUAUUGGAUUUUUGUAAUUGCUCUAAUGCUGUUUUCACAACAUUAUGGAAAAAUGUUCAGAAAAAAGUAUUAAUGUGAAUUUGUAGCUCCCUGGCAUUACAUAGCUAAAAAUAUUGAAAUAUUUGUACUUGUAGAUCCAGGACAACAUGAGUACUUUCCAAUAUUAAAUAUCAUCCAAAAACAAGGUAAUAAAUACAUGACAACUUAAAACUAGUCCAAUAUAUGCUGGAUAAGUGCCGCGCCAUCUUGCAUUGAUGGCAUCAUUUCGUGCAUGAGCUCUGGCAUCAGGUUUCCACUCUUUAGACCGCCCACAACCAGAGGCAGCUGCUCGUCUUGAUUUUCCACCUUGUUACAGCGUUGUACACCAUUUUAAAAACUACAAAACAAACUAUUACUCAAAAUGAUAAUAGCAACCAUCACUGAUUUUUAAAUCUCUU
Long non-coding RNA from Takifugu rubripes (torafugu), 1623 nucleotides. The record is from Ensembl. Lineage: Eukaryota; Metazoa; Chordata; Actinopteri; Tetraodontiformes; Tetraodontidae.